UUAGUUACAGUUGCUAAGGAUCACAGUGACAGCAACAUAAAAUCUGUUUGGUCUUUAGGCGAAUGACUUGUGUUGAGUCACUUCUCCUGUGUAACAGGUUGAGUUCAGCGUGGAGAGGAGCACUUUUCAUCUGCUGGUUGACGGGUUCCGUGUGACUGAUGGACAUCUGCCAAACAACGAGGGAUCAUCUUUAGACCUGCACAACCCCGUGUAUCUGGGAGGUGAUCCCAAAAGCAAAACCACAAACGGACACAACAUUCCCAUGAACAGUGUUAUUGGUUGUAUACGGGACUUCAAAAUGAAUGAGGUCGUUAUGGUGGACCUUGAGGCAAGCUACAAAACUUUACCCUGCUUCGAUGGGCUCGCAGAGAUCGGGACAUACUUUGGCGGCGGUCACAUCGUCUUGGAGAAUUACUUCACCAUUGGCUCGGAGUUUGUGUUGGCCUUCGAGCUGCGUCCUCAAUACCUGACAGGUCUUC
Long non-coding RNA from Perca flavescens (yellow perch), 479 nucleotides. RefSeq lists it as uncharacterized. The transcript is spliced from 3 exons. The record is from RefSeq and is a predicted model, not a curated record. Lineage: Eukaryota; Metazoa; Chordata; Actinopteri; Perciformes; Percidae.